RNAcentral lists this transfer RNA (69 nucleotides) under Apostichopus parvimensis. RNAcentral describes it as "tRNA-Glu". It matches the Rfam family "tRNA". Rfam says of the family: Transfer RNA (tRNA) molecules are approximately 80 nucleotides in length. Their secondary structure includes four short double-helical elements and three loops (D, anti-codon, and T loops). Lineage: Eukaryota; Metazoa; Echinodermata; Holothuroidea; Aspidochirotida; Stichopodidae. The record is from RNAcentral.
GCUUUUGUAGUUUUAGAAAAACGAGGGCUUUUCAAGCCCUAGACCCAAGUUAAACCCUUGGUAAAAGCA